This is a non-coding RNA of Acanthosepion pharaonis, 109 nucleotides long. The record is from the annotation of a GenBank genome assembly. Lineage: Eukaryota; Metazoa; Mollusca; Cephalopoda; Sepiida; Sepiidae.
GGCCAUAUUACGUUGAAACAUCUGUCCCCGUACGAUCACGGAAGUAAAGCAAAGUUGAGAUUGGUUAUUACUUAUAAGGGUGACAGCUUGGGAAUAUCAGGUGCUGUAA